UGCAAGCGUUGUCCGGAUUUAUUGGGUUUAAAGGGUGCGUAGGCGGUUCUUUAAGUCCGUGGUGAAAUACUGCAGCUCAACUGUAGCAUUGCCAUUGAUACUGAAGAACUUGAGUACAGAUGAGGUAGGCGGAAUUUAUGGUGUAGCGGUGAAAUGCAUAGAUAUCAAGAGGAACACCUGAGGUGAAGACGGGUUGCUAGGCUGACACUGACGCUGAGGCGCGAAAGCCAGGGGAGCAAACGGG
RNAcentral lists this ribosomal RNA (244 nucleotides) under uncultured bacterium. RNAcentral describes it as "partial 16S ribosomal RNA". It matches the Rfam family "Bacterial small subunit ribosomal RNA", at positions 533 to 776 of the family's 1533-position model. The record is from RNAcentral.